Molecule: ribosomal RNA, 562 nt
Filed under: Staphylococcus aureus
Lineage: Bacteria; Bacillati; Bacillota; Bacilli; Caryophanales; Staphylococcaceae
Description: partial 23S ribosomal RNA
Rfam family: Bacterial large subunit ribosomal RNA
Source: RNAcentral
CCAGACCACCAGCUAAGGUCCCAAAAUAUAUGUUAAGUGGAAAAGGAUGUGGCGUUGCCCAGACAACUAGGAUGUUGGCUUAGAAGCAGCCAUCAUUUAAAGAGUGCGUAAUAGCUCACUAGUCGAGUGACACUGCGCCGAAAAUGUACCGGGGCUAAACAUAUUACCGAAGCUGUGGAUUGUCCUUUGGACAAUGGUAGGAGAGCGUUCUAAGGGCGUUGAAGCAUGAUCGCAAGGACAUGUGGAGCGCUUAGAAGUGAGAAUGCCGGUGUGAGUAGCGAAAGACGGGUGAGAAUCCCGUCCACCGAUUGACUAAGGUUUCCAGAGGAAGGCUCGUCCGCUCUGGGUUAGUCGGGUCCUAAGCUGAGGCCGACAGGCGUAGGCGAUGGAUAACAGGUUGAUAUUCCUGUACCACCUAUAAUCGUUUUAAUCGAUGGGGGGACGCAGUAGGAUAGGCGAAGCGUGCGAUUGGAUUGCACGUCUAAGCAGUAAGGCUGAGUAUUAGGCAAAUCCGGUACUCGUUAAGGCUGAGCUGUGAUGGGGAGAAGACAUUGUGUCUUCG